AUUAAGAGGCUCAAAGACAAGUUUAGGUUGAUUCAUGAACAGCUUAACCUGUAUCAAGUCAAGGCUAUUCCUGCAACUGCCAAGGAAUGAAAUUCGGCAGAUAUGUGAACUAAUGCUAUGAUCGGACUUUACUUUAGUACAUUGGGCACAAUUUUGCAGAAUUUACUUUCAAUUAAUUAUAUGUUGAUUUAGUUAGAAGCUUUGUCAGUAACUAGCAUAACGGGCAUGAAGCAGUUGGACACGUUGGAACUUGGAAUUUGGAAUUGCAAAUAUAAUUUAGCAGUGAGUGCAAAUAAAACCAGCAGAAACCCAUAAGAGAUGCAGUUAAACUAGUUACAGAGAUACGCUUUUGUGACAAAAGCAAGAAUACCUUAACUACUUAAGAACCGAAAAGACUAAAGAAAGAGAAAAAUGGGCCAGAGGCAAGUCAAGUGGAAAAGACAUUGAACUAACAACUAAUUAAGAAAUUAGAAAAAAAAAGGAUGGAGCAAGGUAUCAAUUGGCUAUUAAGCAAGGAAGCCUUUUUGAGCUGUCUGUUUUUGUAAAUCAACUCUCUUCAACACGUAUUCUUUCAAUAUUCACUCUCUUUAUGCACAUAAUGUUCAUAUAAAAACGUCACUUGCAAUGUCUUACUUCUUCAACUUAAACACAAACUUAAUUGUAGGUGCAAGUGAAAUUUUGAUGAUUUUUUUUUGGCAUGAAACUUCCAAAACUAUUUUUAGAAUCCACAAACUUUUGAACAUGGUUACUCAUUUGUUAGUGAAUUUUGAAAUAUUUCUCUUUCUUUUUUUAUGUCAAAUUAUAGAAUCGGGCUGGUUUACGCCAUUUCUUGGACUCCUUUGGAGGAACAGAGCAGUCUUCCACCGGAGGCAACUCUGCACCAGCUGGUCUCUCCCAAGAGUCAUCUCUGGGCUCAAUUGCCAACGAGAAGCAUGAGAGCAAACCAAAGGCAGAAGUCAAGCUCUCCCAUGUGGCCUCAGGCAUUGACUCAGGCUCUUCUAUUCAGGCAACAGAAACAAGACUUGCUGAUCUUCUAGACAACACUCUUUGGAAUCGGAGACUUGCUCCUUCAUCUGAAAGGAUUGUUUAUGCUCUGGUACAACAGAUAUUCCAUGGAAUUAGAGAGUAUUUCUUGGCCUCUGCUGAAUUGAAGGUUUAAGCAUUUCCCAUUAUUAAUUUAUUGAUAGAUGAAGAUAGAAUACCUGCUAAUUGAUAGGUAUGUGCAGUUUCCUUUAACCCUUAACGGUUUGCACUUGCCCUUUGCAGUUCAACUGUUUUCUUUUGAUGCCGGUUAUAGACAAGUUGCCUGCACUUCUCCGGCAGGACCUAGAAUCUGCUUUUGAGGAUGAUUUGGAUAAUGUUUUUGACAUUACCAAUCUACGACAUUCACUAGGUCAACAGAAACGUGAAAUAGAAAUUGAACUGAAAAGGGUAUAAUUUAUUUUUAAAAGAUUUGUUUUUUUCUUUCCUGCUUUCUAUACCGUACAGAGCAAUCAAUCUUGAUAAAUUUUAUUCCUUCUUGUUCUGGUUUGCAGAUUAAGAGGCUCAAAGACAAGUUUAGGUUGAUUCAUGAACAGCUUAACCUGUAUCAAGUCAAGGCUAUUCCUGCAACUGCCAAGGAAUGAAAUUCGGCAGAUAUGUGAACUAAUGCUAUGAUCGGACUUUACUUUAGUACAUUGGGCACAAUUUUGCAGAAUUUACUUUCAAUUAAUUAUAUGUUGAUUUAGUUAGAAGCUUUGUCAGUAACUAGCAUAACGGGCAUGAAGCAGUUGGACACGUUGGAACUUGGAAUUUGGAAUUGCAAAUAUAAUUUAGCAGUGAGUGCAAAUAAAACCAGCAGAAACCCAUAAGAGAUGCAGUUAAACUAGUUACAGAGAUACGCUUUUGUGACAAAAGCAAGAAUACCUUAACUACUUAAGAACCGAAAAGACUAAAGAAAGAGAAAAAUGGGCCAGAGGCAAGUCAAGUGGAAAAGACAUUGAACUAACAACUAAUUAAGAAAUUAGAAAAAAAAAGGAUGGAGCAAGGUAUCAAUUGGCUAUUAAGCAAGGAAGCCUUUUUGAGCUGUCUGUUUUUGUAAAUCAACUCUCUUCAAC
RNAcentral lists this long non-coding RNA (2096 nucleotides) under Jatropha curcas. RNAcentral describes it as "long non-coding RNA (JCUR_LNC001168)". Lineage: Eukaryota; Viridiplantae; Streptophyta; Magnoliopsida; Malpighiales; Euphorbiaceae. The record is from RNAcentral.